Cyprinus carpio (common carp) is the source of this 1039-nucleotide long non-coding RNA. RefSeq lists it as uncharacterized. The record is from RefSeq and is a predicted model, not a curated record. The transcript is spliced from 5 exons. NCBI's taxonomy places the organism in Eukaryota, Metazoa, Chordata, Actinopteri, Cypriniformes, Cyprinidae.
CAUUUUUUGUGCAUUUGCUUUGACAUAAAAAAGGCAUGUGGUGUGGAUCUCUCCAAAGAAGAAUUGACACAAGUGACCACUAUGACACAUGGAGACAGAUGUUCUCAUUUCUACCAUAGUGAGCACUUACUCAGACUGUCAGAGGUGAAAUUAAAUAUAUUUAGGGCUGGUUGUUGACACAAAUUUAACAAUCGAUUCGAUUUUUGAUUCACAAGGGUUCAUAAAAAUUAGAACCAAUUUAAAAUUGAGAAAUAGAUAUGUCUGGGGGCCGGGGUGCUCUGAUUUAAUUUGCUAACAGUAUUGACGUAAUCAGACAAUUGUUGAUCAUAAAGCACUUAUGCUGGAUGUCACCAAUGUCAUGCAUUCUUAAUGAGUAUUUUUUCACCUCUUCUCUUUUCAAGGUUAUCAACUUCUAUUUGUCCUUGCUAAUGAAGAGAAACAGGGAUCAGCUGGGGAGCCUUAAAGUCUUCUCUUUCAGCACUUUCUUCUACUCAAAGCUUCAGAGUGGUGAAGGCCAUGUAGCAAUGAAGAACUGGACAAAAACUCAGGACCUCUUCCUCUUUGAUCUUGUUUUUGUUCCUUUGCACCUAUCCAUGUACUGGGCUUUGGCUGUAAUUGAUUUCAAAUCCCAGACCAUACAGUGCUAUGACUCAAUGGGUCAAGAGACAUGAUGAUAUCUGUCACGUUGUUAAAGUACCUCACAGAUGAGUACAUGGUCAAGAAAGGAUGCAUCUUGGAGGCUUCCAGGUGGACCAUCGGCCCCGAAUGAGAACUAAUGCAAUUCCUAAACAGGUGAAUGGCAAUGACUGUGGAGUUUUUGUCUGUAAAUAUGCAGACUUCCUUUAUCAAAGAAAGCCACUCACAUUCAGACAGUGUGACGUUCCACUCUUCAGGAAAAUUAUGGUUUGGGAGAUAACACAUCAGAAGAUCCUGUAAGCCCUGAAGCAAUCAUCAGACAUCUUAUGUUCUUUGUGUAAAUUCAAUUUAGGAUGUAAUUAUGAAUAGUUCUGAGAUUAAUAAAAUCUUAGGUUUAACUGCA